UACGGAGGGGGCGAGUGUUGUUCGGAAUUACUGGGCGUAAAGGGCGCGCAGGCGGCGCGGCCAGUCGAGUGUGAAAGCCCUUAGCUUAACUAAGGAAUGGCGCUCGAAACUACCGCGCUAGAGGACGGGAGAGGGAAGUGGAACUCUCGGUGUAGGGGUGAAAUCUGUAGAGAUCGAGAGGAACACCGGUGGCGAAGGCGGCUUCCUGGCCCGUAGCUGACGCUGAGGCGCGAAAGCGUGGGGAGCAAACAGG
This 253-nucleotide ribosomal RNA is filed under the name uncultured bacterium. Its description in RNAcentral is "partial 16S ribosomal RNA". It matches the Rfam family "Bacterial small subunit ribosomal RNA", at positions 524 to 776 of the family's 1533-position model. The record is from RNAcentral.